ACACUGUGUCAAAGAGUAACGCAGGUGUCCUAAGGCGAGCUCAGGGAGGACAGAAACCUCCCGUGGAGCAGAAGGGCAAAAGCUUGCUUGAUCUUGAUUUUCAGUAUGAAUACAAACCGUGAAAGUGGGGCCUCACGAUCCUUCUUGCUUUUUGGGUUGUAAGCAGGAGGUGUCAGAAAAGUUACCACAGGGAUAACUGGCUUGUGGUGGCCAAGCGUUCAUAGUGACAUCGCUUUUUGAUCCUUCGAUGUCAGCUCUUCCUGUCAUUGUGAAGCAGAAUUCACCAAGCGUUGGAUUGUUCACCCACUAAUAGGAAACGUGAGCUGGGAUUAGACCGUCGUGAGACAGGUUAGUUUUACCCUACUGAUGAUGUAUAUUGUUAUUUGUGGAUCGAAUAAACCUUACACCAUUGGCUCGUUCUCUUAUUUGGUUGCUUACAGUGAAUUGCGGUUUGGCUAUCAGUUUUUUUCUUAUUCACGGUCAUCCUUUUUGGUUACUACGUUGCACUGCCAUGUUUCAUAGUACUGAAGGGCCCCAGAGUCGAUGCAUCCAUCCUUUGUACCUAUACUUAUCCCAGACUACGUUCCACUACCAUAUUUCAUAGUACUGAAGGAUCCCAGAGACAAUGCAUACAUCCUGUGUACCUAUACUUAUCACAGACUACAUUCCAGUGCCAUGUUUCAUAGUACUGAAGGAUCCCAGAGAUGAUGCAUUCGUCCUGUGUACCGUUCCACUACUAUGUUUCAUAGUACUGAAGGGUCCCAGAGACAAUGCAGCCAUUCUGUGUACCUAUACUUAUCACAGACUACAUUCCAGUGCCAUGUUUCAUAGUACUGAAGGAUCCCAGAGAUGAUGCAUUCGUCCUGUGUACCUAUACUUAUCCCUGGGACUGCGUUCCACUACUAUGUUUCAUAGUACUGAAGGAUCCCAGAGACAAUGCAUACAUCCUGUGUACCUAUACUUAUCACAGACUACAUUCCAGUGCCAUGUUUCAUAGUACUGAAGGGUCCCAGAGACAAUGCAGCCAUUCUGUGUACCUAUACUUAUACCAGACUACGUUCCACUGCAGUGUUUCAUUGUACUGAAGGGUCCCAGAGACGAUGCAUCCAUCCUGUGUACUUGUACUUAUCCCAGACUACGUUCCACUGCCACGUGUUUUAGUACUGAAGGGUUCCAGAAACAAGCAUGAAGAAUGAACCAAAUGACAUUACCUGAAUUAAAGAGCAAAGCUAGAAGGGAGGAGUAUACACUGCGACCUGUAUGGGUCGGGAGCCGGGGAGGGGGCAAAUAGCUAAAAACGUACAAACAGAACGAUAAUAGGACACCAAAAUUAUGCCCAAAGUAACAGAGAAAACGGUGUGAUCUGGGUAUGAAGAACUUUCAGUAUUUUUUCUUAAGAUAUCCAUUGCAGGUUGUCAACCUUCAGUUUCUAGAGAAAAAGCACUGUUUCUAUUACAGCAGCACGCCAGUAUUACUGGGUACAUUCUUAUGACAUUAAAUGGGAAGACACAAAGUGGCAUGGAAAUGUCGAUUCAAUUUCACAUCCUGUGACAUUAAAUGAGAAGACACAAAGUGGCAUGGUAAUGUCGAUUCACUGUCACAUCCUGUGACAUUAAAUGGGAAGACACAAAGUGGCACGGGAAUGUCUAUUCACUGUCACAUCCUGUGACAUUAAAUGUGAAGACACAAAGUGGCAUGGAAAUGUCGCUUUCGCACUCUGACAUUAAAUCACAAAGUGGCACGGUAAUGUUAUUUACUGUCACAUUUUUCAUACAAGAAGAUGGAGCAGUCAAGUGAUGGUUUGGAUGCUCCAAAGGCUAUUGAAAAUGCCCUGAUCAAAAAAGAUAUCGGGGCUAAGCAAUUACUCAAGGUAUAAGACAGUGUAGUAAAAAAAAAAAGAUGUCUUAAUAAAACAAACAAAAAGAUUUAUUGUGUCUUGAAUUACCAGCUAGAAAAUGUCAAAACACCAGUAUCUGCAUCUUAAAGGAAUCUACUAUGUAGCUCCAGCUUACUAAUUCCUCCUAUAUUAUGUACCAGUGUGUUAUGUAGUGUCCAUGGAAAAUGUUUAAAUGAAGUCUCUAGUUCAUAACUUCACACAAUGACCAGGUACUUCAUUUAAAUAUAACAACAGAUGCUGAUGCUGACACAGUGCUGUUUUUUCUUCUGUGCCAUAUGUCAGAAAUAUAAGAUCUAGCAUAUAUUAAUCAAAUAACAUUUCAUCCCAGCCAAAUAAUAAAAUAAACAACAUAGUUUCUUUUGUUUAUGGCCUCUGAUUGUCAGUUUUAGCCAAUUUUGGUACUUUAUUUUCUGUUUCUUUCCUUGCUUAAUUCCCAGUUAACUAUAUGCAUAAAUGUGCUAGAAGAAAGGCCACAUAGGGUUGUCAAUAUCUUAAAUUAAAUGGAGCUAUAGUACUAUUUAUGUGGCUAUAACAAGUAAAGAAACACUAAGGCAAGGGACUGCACAACAUGUAACAAAUUUGUUUCACAAUAUUUUGCGGGCUCCUGAGUGAUAUAGAAGACUAUUUUGAACUGAAAAGUGAUGACAAGAUGUUUACAGCAGUGUGAUUAUAUACAGUAUUUUUCAGAAAAAGUUGCUAAAAAACAUUUUUUAUAUGGCAGGCUCAUAAAGAAGCCUAAAUAUGGAAAAAAUAAAUAAGUAAAAAUGUGGGUUAACAUUCUGCCUCAUGUAGGUGGAUUUUGUUAGUAUCAUUUAAAGUAUGUCAAUUCUGUAAUGGUUCACCCUGUUUGACCGAGAGUAGUAAGGUACAGUUUAAAAAAAGAAGUAAUUAUACUGAGGUGCGACAGUCUCCCCAUACUGAUGUAACAGUAACAAUGCUGUGUGUCAUGUGGUCACCCACCAAGUGGCCAAAGUGAUAGCAGCUGCAUGACCAACCACCAUGAUUCAGCAGAUUUGCCUUAGGUAGUUCAUUCAUACACAUCCAGUCAGCUGUAAACAGUGUAAGGAAUAUUAUGUCAAAAGGAAAGACGAUUUGGUCCAGCACAUCAACACUUGAAAGAAGGAGUGGUCCAGAACUCAAUAUUCUAGUAGACUACAUCUGCUGAAUAGACCUGUAUCAUUUCAAAGGAGUGCAAACUGACAUUUCUCCCAAGACAGGAAUAUAUCAUAUGCAUUUCAUAUAAAAUAUGUUGAAUAUUUUGGAAGCCUCAAAAGAUGAAAUAUAAUGCUAAAGGCACCUGGUUAGAAGGAAAGGUAUUUUAGUUAGUGAUGGACAGAACAAUGGGAUCUGUGUUCCUUGGUUCUGCAUGCCCUUCAUUAGAGUGCAUGUAAUAGUAAUGCUAUCUGCAAAGCACAAAGUCAAAUAACAUAUUUGUGAAUUUCACAAGUGAUCAAGCACCACCAUUAAAUACAAAGUAUUUCCUAAACUCUGUUUCCCUGUACCUGUGUAGCAUUAAAAUGUGUUGCACAGAAUGUUAUCAUCAGAGGUAGAUUGACCUACAAAGGAAGCUUGUCCAAGUUAUAUGACUUAAUCAUAAAAAAUAAUAAUAAUUUUGAUGCAAAAUUCUGGAGUUUUGUAGAUAAUAGUGGAUUGAGUGACUCAAUAGAUGGUAAGAAUAAAACUUUGUUACUUAAGUCAGUUAGUUAAACUUCUUCAUGUUUAUACUGGAAAGCUUUUUAUGUGGAAAUACAUGCAUAGAAUGCUUGUUAUUCCCUGUUAAAUCUCUAAGCUUAGUAAAAUGACUUCACUUUGUUGGAGAUGUAAAGAUAUACAAGCUGAUUGGACGCACUUGUGUAUGGAUUGUGAAAAAUUAAAUGUAUAUUGAGAAGAGAUAAGUAUGUUAAGUGGUCAUGGUCUGAUAACUGUUAACUAAAUCAGUAAUACUAAUGAAUGUUCCACUUCCUUUAUCUGUAAAAGCCAAACAAUUGUUCUGUAGUCUUUCCUCCAGUAGCUAGAAAAGUAUUACAAAAAACUGGAAAUUGAAUUUGGUUCCUACAUUCAAAUAAUUCUUAAAUUUAACAGCAGUUGUAGUGUAAAACUGAAAAAGAAGUGAUCAGAAUAAGAUCUAUAAAUCAUACUAAGACUUUCAGUGGUUGAGAUUACCGUGAAAUGUUAUUGAAAUACCAAGAUUCUUAAUGUGUUAAUUGUAUAAGAUUACCUUGAUGAGUGAAGUGUAUUCUUAUCAUUGUAUACCUGUAUGUGAUGAUGAAUUUCUUCCGAUCUGUGCAUAUGUUGUAAAUGUUAAAUUAACAUUUUCAUAUAAUAAUGUGUUGCACACAGCCGUGCUUCUCUCACUGUUUACUGUGCAAACACAAGAAAGACAUUUUACACAUAGCAUUUUGUUAGCUUUCAUACAUCCUCUCCAUGCUGUUUUGUGUAGCCACUUUGAAGUUGGUAUCACAAAACACCACUUGUUAUCACAGAAUAUUGCUCCAUUACAAACAAUCCUUAACAGCUUGUUUAUGCAGUCAUUUUUAGUGCAGUGUUUUGCUUUGCCCUAGUCUCUUUAGAAGAAAGAUAUAUAUUCACAAAGACUCUCUUACUGAACGUUUAGUCGAUAAUUCAGGCUGCAUUUAAUCCUGCUUAGAUAAUGGGCAUGCAUACAUCAGUACCCCACUGGACAAUGUUCUCCAACACAGUAUUAAUGUGCAGAUUUCACCCAGUAUAAAAACAAGUCAUCCACUUCACCGGAGCAUAUUAAGCUACUGUAAAGCACUGACUGAAAUAAAAAAGUUAACGGCAGUCAUUUUAAGUUCACCGAAUGUGGCUUUGCUGUUAGCAUAAAAUGAAAAGGGCAGUAAAGAUGUGAAGAUUUUCUUUUGACUUUACCGUUGCCAAGACUGGUACGGAGAAAAAAUAAAAGAAAAAAAAGUAAUGAAA
Protopterus annectens (West African lungfish) is the source of this 4837-nucleotide long non-coding RNA. RefSeq lists it as uncharacterized. The record is from RefSeq and is a predicted model, not a curated record. Lineage: Eukaryota; Metazoa; Chordata; Ceratodontiformes; Protopteridae. The transcript is spliced from 3 exons.